AAGGGCACCACAAGAACGCGUGGAGCAUGUGGCUUAAUUUGACUCAACGCGGGAAAUCUUACCGGGUCCGGACACACUGAGGAUUGACAGAUAUACGCUACGUUGUUACUUUCGGGUGCACGUGGCUCAAAGAUGCUAGUUCUUUCAUGAUUAUGUGAUAGGUGGUGCAUGGCCGUUCUUAGUUCGUGGAGUGAUCUGUCUGCUUAAUUGCGUAUCAAUAAUAGAGACCUAGUAUACGCGUAUUACUCGUGUGGUAGUGACCCCCUUCUCACGGAGGCGCGUGUCGCACAUACGGUAUACGCACUGGUCUCAGAUAGCAACGAACGUGACCGUAUUCUAUUGUUGCAGUGAAUUAUACGUGUGCUUUACCGCACACAUUCCCACUGCUUAGUGUGCGCUGCCAGUACCUGUUGCUGCUGCGUCACACAUUAAACUAUAGAGACCGCUGUUUCUUCUUUAAACCAGAGGAAGGAUACGGCAAUAACAGGUCUGUGAUGCCCUCAGAUGUUCCGGGCUGCACACGUGCUACAAUGAUCAUUGCACUGUGCAUCUAACCCAAUGUGCGCGGACGCCACGAUACGUAUUUGCCUUCGGGCAUUUUAUGUAUUCGCUUGUGCGACUGCGCCGAACCUACUUCGAAAGUAAAAUUUUUAAGUGGGUAAUCCAUUAGAAGUAAUGACUCGCAUAGACCAUGGCACACUAUAUGUACGCGCAGGUCUACCCGGCUCGCCUUUGUGUGAGUGCAGUGCGUAGCUUGUUGUUUCGUACGUGCCACUCCGUAUUAAUUCGUACGUGGGGAUAGAUCAUUGUUUAAUUGUUGGUCUCGGUCUUAACUAGGAAUGCCUUGUACGGGUCUUUGGUUCAACAUACCACCCGGAAUACGUCCCUGCCCUUUGUACACACCGCCCGUCGCUCUUACCGAUGGAUUAUACUAUGAAUCUAUAGGACUGCCAAAGUUUGCGGGUUGUUCGCACACCGCGCUUAGUGGAAAUAUAUAUGAAUAGUGUGAUCUAAAGGAAAGAGAAGUCGUAACAAGGCAUCGGUAGGUGAACCUGCAGAAGGAUCAA
Molecule: ribosomal RNA, 1067 nt
Filed under: Ammonia sp.
Lineage: Eukaryota; Foraminifera; Rotaliida; Rotaliidae
Description: SSU rRNA
Rfam family: Eukaryotic small subunit ribosomal RNA
Source: RNAcentral